This 492-nucleotide ribosomal RNA is filed under the name uncultured bacterium. Its description in RNAcentral is "partial 16S ribosomal RNA". It matches the Rfam family "Bacterial small subunit ribosomal RNA", at positions 29 to 507 of the family's 1533-position model. The record is from RNAcentral.
AGUGAACGCUGGCGGUAGGCCUAACACAUGCAAGUCGAACGGCAGCACAGUAAGAGCUUGCUCUUACGGGUGGCGAGUGGCGGACGGGUGAGGAAUACAUCGGAAUCUACUUUUUCGUGGGGGAUAACGUAGGGAAACUUACGCUAAUACCGCAUACGACCUACGGGUGAAAGCAGGGGAUCUUCGGACCUUUCGCGAUUGAAUGAGCCGAUGUCGGAUUAGCUAGUUGGCGGGGUAAAGGCCCACCAAGGCGACGAUCCGUAGCUGGUCUGACAGGAUGUUCAGCCACACUGGAAGUGAGAAAGGGUCCAGACUCCUACGGGAGGAAGCAGUGGGGAAUAUUGGACAAUGGACGCAAGCCUGAUCCAGCCAUACCGCGUGGGUGAAGAAGGCCUUCGGGUUGUAAAGCCCUUUUGUUGGGAAAGAAAAGCAGCAGGUUAAUACCCCACUGUACUGACGGUACCCAAAGAAUAAGCACCGGCUAACUUCGUG